Heterocephalus glaber (naked mole-rat) is the source of this 194-nucleotide small nuclear RNA. Its record names the gene U2. It matches the Rfam family "U2 spliceosomal RNA". Rfam says of the family: U2 is a small nuclear RNA (snRNA) component of the spliceosome (involved in pre-mRNA splicing). The record is from Ensembl. NCBI's taxonomy places the organism in Eukaryota, Metazoa, Chordata, Mammalia, Rodentia, Bathyergidae.
AUCACUUCUCGGCCUUUUGGCUAAGAUCAAGUGUAGUAUCUGAUCUUAUUACAGGGAUCCCUGCUCACCGUGUUUAUAUUAUGUAAUUUUUUAAAGGCUUUGAGAGCUCCUGGAACUCCCUGCAGGCGAUUCCAGGCACUAAAUUUGCCACAGAUCUGCAAAUCCACUUAAAUUUCAGAGAGAGUUGGACUUAU